GGCGGCGUAGCUCAGCUGGUCAGAGCACGCGGUUCAUACCCGCGGUGUCCGGGGUUCGAGUCCCUGCGCCGCUA
Molecule: non-coding RNA, 74 nt
Organism: Desulfotomaculum sp. 46_80
Lineage: Bacteria; Bacillati; Bacillota; Clostridia; Eubacteriales; Desulfotomaculaceae
Source: Rfam